Hevea brasiliensis (rubber tree) is the source of this 797-nucleotide RNA transcript. RefSeq lists it as uncharacterized. The transcript is spliced from 4 exons. The record is from RefSeq and is a predicted model, not a curated record. NCBI's taxonomy places the organism in Eukaryota, Viridiplantae, Streptophyta, Magnoliopsida, Malpighiales, Euphorbiaceae.
GCACUCCACUAUGGAGAAAUGGGCCACCUGAGAAGCCAGUGUUAUGCAAUGCCUGUGGAUCAAGGUACAGGAUUAGAGGAUGUCUUGCAAACUAUACACCUAAGCAUGCCCAAGGACAACCAACUGCUAAAAGGAAUCUGCAAUAUCAUGUUCCCAGAGCUGCUACAAUGUAAAAGAAGAAGAGAAUGGAGGUGAAAGUCCAGGUGGAUUAAUCCAGGGAAGCUUGUGGAAGUCUGGUAUACCUUCAAGAAAGAGGUCUGUAAAUGUUCAACGCUGUCUUACACCCAUUGAAAGACUUCAAAGGGAGCAUUGCAAUAUUUUGAAGAAUCAUCCUUCCAUCUUGUCUGAAAAUGAAGAGGAUGAUCUUCUCAUUUAUAAUGCAAACAACCUGCAAGUAUCCUGCAAUGAAAUUGGCCUUGGAGGCUUUCUUCUCAAACCCAAUACCACCACCACUACCAUUACUACUACCACAGAAGUUCCACCAGCUGAGCCUGAGAAACACUCCUCAGCAGUAGAUAUCAAGGAUUCUGCUUUAAUUGAGUCCCAAAGUAGAUCCUCAUCAUCCAUGGGUGGGUUUCAAGAAAAUUGAACCAGUUGCAGAUGGCUAGCUUCAAGGGCAACUGGGCAAGAGCAGGUGGAACCAUAUUAAAAAACUGUAGUCACAUUUUUAUUUUUUCAUUUUUGCCAUCCAUUGAAAUCUCAAAAAUGUACUUCUUUACAUUAAUUUGAUGUAUUUAUUUUUAACAGUUUGCAGUAAAACUAAAUUUGACUGAUAAAUUAUAAGAUUAAUUUUAUUA